Dama dama (fallow deer) is the source of this 3909-nucleotide long non-coding RNA. RefSeq lists it as uncharacterized. The record is from RefSeq and is a predicted model, not a curated record. The transcript is spliced from 3 exons. NCBI's taxonomy places the organism in Eukaryota, Metazoa, Chordata, Mammalia, Artiodactyla, Cervidae.
GUAGGAAUCCCAGACCUCUUUUUGGGCACUGAGCUCCUUAAUGUAGCUCUAUUCCUUGUUAUCCUUAGUGUCAUUCUUGUGAUAAAAGGCCAGAGCUUUCUACAGAUUUAUGGGUGGUGGGUGGAAACUACUGGAGGUCAACAUAACUUUUCCUUUUGGUUCCCCUUUUGUCAAGGGCUUAGAGGAGCAGUGACCCACACUAGGACAGCCACAGCCUAUGUGGAUCAGGUUUAGCAGUGACCUAAGUGGAUUCCUGACGUUCUCAGGAGACCAUGCCGCUCAUAACUCUGCCCCCUCUGCUGAAUGUGCUUCAGGAACAAAGGGCAGGUAUGAGGGCUGAGAGCACUUCUUGUUUUCCUCCCAUAAAACAUGCAUGGGGGAAGGAGGCCUAUUUUACUCCCUGAACAGGAGUUGUUUUGGUCCCCAGUGUUCUCUAACUCUCCUGACUUUAUCUGGGGGCUAAUGGGACAAGUAGCUCUUGAUUUGAUCAUCUCAGGGCUGUAGAUGUUUGAAGUUACACCCUACAUACAAAAGGUUAUUUUUGCUUUUGGAGGAGCUUAUAGUGAAACCAGCUUGGCAAUCAUUUGUUUUCUCAGUUCACCUAUAAAGUUUUUUUUUCCUCCUUCCUUUGCUCUGUUUUUACUAGGAAUGAAUGAAUAACAUGGCAAGGAAUGAGUGAGUGACAGACAGUAAAUGUACCUGUCAUGGGGAGUGUCCUUUAUAGGACUGAAAUCGAAGAAGAGAAGUGACCCCAAGAGCAGCAGCUACCCCUCCACUUUUCCCCCCCAGACCCUGGGGCUGUCUGCCAUGUUAUUUUGGUUCUGCACGUCCAAGAUGAACUCAGAGAAGCACUUACUGCCAUGGACAUUAAAUAAGAAGACAUAUGCACUUAGUUCAUGGUGUGUAUGUCUGGUAUGUGGCUGGAAUUCACCAACUGUUCCACCUCUUCUUUCUCCUGUCCCUCCCCACAGACUGCUUUGAGUCACAGUAUGUCUUGUGCUUAUUGCUGGUCCAGGAUGAACUGGAUCAGGUCACUUUCUGACUGAGGAGUUGUACUCCUGGUCGCCCAUCUGCAUGUUUGGUUCCAAGUCGUACUUGAUCUUGCUGAUGGUUGAGACUGGAAGACAGUGACAGUAGUGAUAUUCUUGAAAAUGUUAUGCACUCAGCAAAUGUUAGUUACGGACUAGGUACUGUUCUAAGCACUUCCCUCUAUUUUUUCAUAUAGUGCUUGCAAUAACUCCCAUAACGUAGGCACUUUACAGUGGUGUAACCAAGGCUCGGUUGAGUCAAGAACAGGGUCGUAUGUCCUGCUAAGGAGAUAGCAGUGCCUGGGAAUAUAGCAGCCAAGAUGGCUAUGUUGUGCAGCUGUCUGAUGUUGGGGACCAUAUGAAGUAGGAGGGGAUACGCACGUCUGUCUGAGUGUAGGUGUGAAAAGUGCUUGUGCACCGUCCUCUAGGGGAGAGCAGAGCAGUGUGCUGCUUUGGAAUGAGGGCAGUAGAGCUCUUCUCUCCACACCAGCCUCCUCGAGCCACAUUCUGUGUUCUGAUGCUGCAUUCACUUACAUACACUGCAUGAUAGUCUUUAUGGCAUAAAAUAUACAAUAUACACCGUUUCUCCUGUUCACUCAAAGGAAGCAUCUGGUUAACUCCCUUCUCUCUCAGAACCUGAGUCUUUUUCAGGUGGGAGAGGUGCCUGGAAAGAGGACAUGUGGUUGUUUUGGUUUAGUCCUUAUUAUCAUUUCUGGAACAUUGCUAUAGGUCUCAGACAAGUAUUCCCCCAAGUCUGAGUUGCCAGGCCAACAUUUAGACACAAACUGUGGCCUUUGUCAAACUCUGCUGUGGGUUGUUUCACUCGGUGUCCCCUGACCGUGGUGAAUAGCUGCUUCCCGUCUUCAUUUCACCCGUCCCUUGUGUGUUCCAGGGGGACUGACAGGGGCAGUAAUUGGCGCCCCAUCUUCGUUUAGUUACUGACUUUGCUUUUCUUCACAUAGUUCAGCUUGCGGCCACUCUUCCAUCUAGUGGAUAACUGUUGAAGGGAGCCCAGUGGGAGAAUAGAGACACUGUUUGACAGACGUCUGUGAGCACCUACCAUGCGUGCUGGCUUAGGCGCUGGGAUUCAGCAAUAAGUCACACACUGAGAAGACUAGUUAUGCUGUGUGUAAACAGACAAAUACUGGCCAGCCAACUGAAUUUGAGGAAACCAGGUUGGACUCUUAAGUGAGAAGAAAUGAAGAGGGAGACUUCAAAAAACAAGGCAUAAAUGAAACAAUUAUUGUAGGAAAAAGUUGUCGCUGUUACCAGAACUGCCGCGAUGGCUGUCUCCCGGACUGGGCUCUGCCAUCUUCCAGAGGACUCGGCGUCGCACGCCAGCUGCAGAAGAACCACUGUUCUCGGUUAGGAUAGUGCGGCCUGUUAUCCAGCUCUGAGAGAGAACAGUCGAGAAAUGAUUUUUAUAUAGAAGGGAGCAUUUGUACUUUGUCAUAGAAGAGCUUGUUCACCAGGCAAUGGCAGAGAAAAGAGAGUUUCUUCCCUGCUGCCUAGAAUUCUUCUCUGACAGUCCCUCCACCCCACUGGGUGUAGGAAGGAACUGAGUAUAGCAGUUGAAGAUGAAAUGUUUUAUUCAUUUGUUCAUUCAGCACAUGUUUGAGAACUUACUGUAUGCCAGACAUUUGAAACUUCCCAGUGGUUUGAGCUGGGCCAAGCAGUGCCUUUUAGUCUACUGGCCUUUGGUCCUGCCUGGAGUUAAGACCAAGAACCUGAUUCCAGGGCAGUCAGGAUUGAGAGUCCGGAGCCUCACAGGGCCUCAUCACCUCUGGGUUUGGUACCAUUAUAGAGAAUAAUCACGUUAAUUUGGGCUGCUUGCUCCCAGGAAUUUCACAGCCAGGCUGAGACUCCUCAUACACGGCUAGGCUACUCUUGUCCCCACUGUGACAGAGAUCUGGCCAGUAGGAGGUGAGCUGUUAGGCCUGUGGCCUCCCAGUGGUUUUGUUCACAAUGUCCUGGCAAAGCAGCAAAAGAAAGGUGCUGUUGCCUGGAUCUCAAGGGUUCAAGCACUUUGUUACAGUGAAAUUACCAUGUCCUACAAAGCAGUAGAAGUGGAGUGUCACAGAUGCUGAGGUUAGCCCAGAUAGCUCUGGGAUUAGUGCUGCUGGGACCUUCUUGUCUUCUGGUAGACUAUCCCGCCUCCCUUUUAUUUCCUUACUGACCCAUCUUAUAAAAUAGUUUUAAUUUCUCUUUACUCUACCACUUAAGGCCAUUUAGGGUCACACUCUAUCUUUAAAAUCCAGUGUAAGUGGAGAAAGCACUGAACUGCCAGAUCUUAACAGUUAUACUUAAGAAAGUGCUAAAACUCUUGAGUUGCUGACUUGGGGUGAGACUUGCGGAGGUUGGUGAGAGUACCUGGAAUUAGGCCUAAUCCCUGCACCUUCCACCUACCAUAGAUUCCUUUUCUUUAAAUGUCAGAACUUGAUCUGUUAUGUGUCUGUAUCUUCAAAUGCAUUUUUCCUAGUGCUCUUUUAAAACUGUUGAACACUUCCUCGGGUAGAGGGGAAAGGAGUUAGACCCUCAGGAACAGAGACUCUCCUCUCUCUCUUCCUAGACCAUGGAGUUAACGAAAUUGGCCUAGAGCUGCUGAGGGGGUGCUGUGUUUGUGUCUCAGUGGGCUGCCUUUACUGAGUGGGACACAAAAGCCCAAAGCACAGGCCAUUCCCACAAGCCUAACAUUUUCAUAUUUCUUUCUCUGCCAAAGAAUCUUUGGUUAGGGUUAAGAAUAACCAGUCUGUCUUUGGAAAUACCAAGGCCUUUUGUUUGCCAGGAGAAAAGGGCUUUUGAUUAAGGCCAGUCUUCUCUCUCUUUUUUUUUUCUCCUUAAGCUGCUGUGAGAAGACCACAGAGCCUCUGAAGGUGCUGUG